GGACAUCAGGAGGUUAGUGCAAUGGCAUAAGCUAGCUUGACUGCGAGCGUGACGGCGCGAGCAGGUGCGAAAGCAGGUCAUAGUGAUCCGGUGGUUCUGAAUGGAAGGGCCAUCGCUCAACGGAUAAAAGGUACUCCGGGGAUAACAGGCUGAUACCGCCCAAGAGUUCAUAUCGACGGCGGUGUUUGGCACCUCGAUGUCGGCUCAUCACAUCCUGGGGCUGAAGUAGGUCCCAAGGGUAUGGCUGUUCGCCAUUUAAAGUGGUACGCGAGCUGGGUUUAGAACGUCGUGAGACAGUUCGGUCCCUAUCUGCCGUGGGCGCUGGAGAAUUGAGGGGGGCUGCUCCUAGUACGAGAGGACCGGAGUGGACGCAUCACUGGUGUUCGGGUUGUCAUGCCAAUGGCACUGCCCGGUAGCUAAAUGCGGAAGAGAUAAGUGCUGAAAGCAUCUAAGCACGAAACUUGCCCCGAGAUGAGUUCUCCCUGAGACUU
This 491-nucleotide ribosomal RNA is filed under the name Klebsiella pneumoniae. RNAcentral describes it as "partial 23S ribosomal RNA". It matches the Rfam family "Bacterial large subunit ribosomal RNA", at positions 2333 to 2823 of the family's 2925-position model. Lineage: Bacteria; Pseudomonadati; Pseudomonadota; Gammaproteobacteria; Enterobacterales; Enterobacteriaceae. RNAcentral also lists the same sequence under 1 other name. The record is from RNAcentral.